UGAGGAAUAUUGGUCAAUGGGCGUAAGCCUGAACCAGCCAAGUAGCGUGAGGGAAGACUGCCCUAUGGGUUGUAAACCUCUUUUGUGCGGGGAUAAAGUGUGGGACGUGUCCCAUAUUGCAGGUACCGCACGAAUAAGGACCGGCUAAUUCCGUGCCAGCAGCCGCGGUAAUACGGAGGAUCCGAGCGUUAUCCGGAUUUAUUGGGUUUAAAGGGAGCGUAGGCGGGUGCUUAAGUCAGUUGUGAAAGUUUGCGGCUCAACCGUAAAAUUGCAGUUGAUACUGGGCGCCUUGAGUGCAGCAUAGGUAGGCGGAAUUCGUGGUGUAGCGGUGAAAUGCUUAGAUAUCACGAAGAACUCCGAUUGCGAAGGCAGCUUACUGGACUGUAACUGACGCUGAUGCUCGAAAGUGUGGGUAUCAAACAGGAUUAGAUACCCUGGUAGUCCACACAGUAAACGAUGAAUACUCGCUGUUGGCGAUAUACAGUCAGCGGCCAAGCGAAAGCAUUAAGUAUUCCACCUGGGGAGUACGCCGGCAACGGUGAAACUCAAAGGAAUUGACGGGGGCCCGCACAAGCGGAGGAACAUGUGGUUUAAUUCGAUGAUACGCGAGGAACCUUACCCGGGCUUAAAUUGCAACUGACUGAAUCGGAAACGGUUCUUUCUUCGGACAGUUGUGAAGGUGCUGCAUGGUUGUCGUCAGCUCGUGCCGUGAGGUGUCGGCUUAAGUGCCAUAACGAGCGCAACCCUUAUCUAUAGUUACUAUCAGGUCAUGCUGAGGACUCUAUGGAGACUGCCGUCGUAAGAUGUGAGGAAGGUGGGGAUGACGUCAAAUCAGCACGGCCCUUACGUCCGGGGCUACACACGUGUUACAAUGGGGGGUACAGAAGGCAGCUACCUGGCGACAGGAUGCUAAUCCCUAAAACCUCUCUCAGUUCGGAUUGGAGUCUGCAACCCGACUCCAUGAAGCUGGAUUCGCUAGUAAUCGCGCAUCAGCCACGGCGCGGUGAAUACGUUCCC
This 1017-nucleotide ribosomal RNA is filed under the name uncultured bacterium. RNAcentral describes it as "bacterial SSU rRNA". It matches the Rfam family "Bacterial small subunit ribosomal RNA", at positions 355 to 1375 of the family's 1533-position model. The record is from RNAcentral.